AGAGUUAAACAGUACGUGAAAUUGUUGAAAGGGAAACGAUUGAAGCCAGUCGUACCUACGGACAAUCAGCUUUUUGGGUAUGAUUACGUGGGACGUGAGGAGUUAAACGCCUUUGCUUUCGCGUAUUUGUGCUCUUGGGUGUACUUGCCCGUGCGGUAGGUUAACAUCAAUUUCGGACGUCAUAAAAUGGUUGGAGGAAUGUAGCUUCGGUCUCGUACUGAAGUGUUAUAGCCUCCGGUAGAUGUGAUGACCGGGAUUGAGGAUUGCAACGGAUACCCUUCGGGGCUACCCGUCUGAUCUCUGAAAGUUGCUCUGGUGUCGAAAGCGUGCUUACGGUUAUCAAAGUUGACGGUCAACAGGUUAGAACGGGUUAAAUUCGUUAAGGAUGUUGACGUAAUGGCUUUAAACGACC
This 412-nucleotide ribosomal RNA is filed under the name Rhizophagus prolifer. RNAcentral describes it as "partial large subunit ribosomal RNA". Lineage: Eukaryota; Fungi; Glomeromycota; Glomeromycetes; Glomerales; Glomeraceae. The record is from RNAcentral.